CCUCGGGUGGCAGCAGUUUCGAAUCAUUCACAAUGGGCGAAAGCCUGAUGGUGCGACGCCGCGUGAGGGAUGAAGGUCUUCGGAUUGUAAACCUCUGUCACCGGGGAAGAAACGCUUUGAGUUAAUAGUUCAAAGCCUGACUUAACCCGGAGAGGAAGCAGUGGCUAACUCUGUGCCAGCAGCCGCGGUAAUACAGAGACUGCAAGCGUUAUUCGGAUUCGCGGGGCGUAAAGGGUGCGUAGGGGGCGAAAGCCCGGGGCUUAACCCCGGAAUUGCACCUCAAACUACAUCGCUAGAGCAUUGGAGAGGGUAGCAGAAUUCACGGUGUAGCAGUGAAAUGCGUAGAUAUCGUGAGGAAUACCAGAGGCGAAGGCGGCUACCUGGACAAUUGCUGACGCUCAGGCACGAAAGCGUGGGGAGCAAAAGGGAUUAGAUACCCCAGUAGUC
Molecule: ribosomal RNA, 447 nt
Filed under: uncultured bacterium
Lineage: Bacteria
Description: partial 16S ribosomal RNA
Rfam family: Bacterial small subunit ribosomal RNA
Source: RNAcentral